This 855-nucleotide ribosomal RNA is filed under the name insect metagenome. Its description in RNAcentral is "bacterial SSU rRNA". It matches the Rfam family "Bacterial small subunit ribosomal RNA", at positions 77 to 917 of the family's 1533-position model. The record is from RNAcentral.
UGACGUUAGGAAAGCGAGCGGCGGANGGGUGAGUAACACGUGGGGAACCUGCCCCAUAGUCUGGGAUACCACUUGGAAACAGGUGCUAAUACCGGAUAAGAAAGCAGAUCGCAUGAUCAGCUUUUAAAAGGCGGCGUAAGCUGUCGCUAUGGGAUGGCCCCGCGGUGCAUUAGCUAGUUGGUAAGGUAANGGCUUACCAAGGCGAUGAUGCAUAGCCGAGUUGAGAGACUGAUCGGCCACAUUGGGACUGAGACACGGCCCAAACUCCUACGGGAGGCAGCAGUAGGGAAUCUUCCACAAUGGACGGCAANNCUGAUGGAGCAANGCCNCGUGAGUGANGAAGGNNUUCGGNUCGUAAAGCUCUGUUGUUGGUGAAGAAGGAUAGAGGUAGUAACUGGCCUUUAUUUGACGGUAAUCAACCAGAAAGUCACGGCUAACUACGUGCCAGCAGCCGCGGUAAUACGUAGGUGGCAAGCGUUGUCCGGAUUUAUUGGGCGUAAAGCGAGCGCAGGCGGAAGAAUAAGUCUGAUGUGAAAGCCCUCGGCUUAACCGAGGAACUGCAUCGGAAACUGUUUUUCUUGAGUGCAGAAGAGGAGAGUGGAACUCCAUGUGUAGCGGUGGAAUGCGUAGAUAUAUGGAAGAACACCAGUGGCGAAGGCGGCUCUCUGGUCUGCAACUGACGCUGAGGCUCGAAAGCAUGGGUAGCGAACAGGAUUAGAUACCCUGGUAGUCCAUGCCGUAAACGAUGAGUGCUAAGUGUUGGGAGGUUUCCGCCUCUCAGUGCUGCAGCUAACGCAUUAAGCACUCCGCCUGGGGAGUACGACCGCAAGGUUGAAACUCAAAGGAAUUGACGGG